UACGAGGGAUCCUAGCGUUGUUCGGAAUCAUUGGGCGUAAAGGGUGUGUAGGCGGCCAUGUAAGUCAGUUGUGAAAGCCCCGGGCUCAACCCGGGAAGUGCUUCUGAUACUGCUUGGCUUGAGUAUUGGAUAGGUGAGUGGAAUUCCAGGUGUAGUGGUGAAAUACGUAGAUAUCUGGAGGAACACCGGCGGCGAAGGCGGCUCACUGGCCAUAUACUGACGCUGAAACACGAAAGCGUGGGUAGCAAACAGG
Molecule: ribosomal RNA, 253 nt
Filed under: uncultured bacterium
Lineage: Bacteria
Description: partial 16S ribosomal RNA
Rfam family: Bacterial small subunit ribosomal RNA
Source: RNAcentral